RNAcentral lists this ribosomal RNA (253 nucleotides) under uncultured bacterium. RNAcentral describes it as "partial 16S ribosomal RNA". It matches the Rfam family "Bacterial small subunit ribosomal RNA", at positions 524 to 776 of the family's 1533-position model. The record is from RNAcentral.
UACGAAGGGUGCAAACGUUGCUCGGAAUCAUUGGGCGUAAAGCGCACGUAGGCGGCUCCGCAAGUCGGAUGUGAAAUCCCUCGGCUCAACCGAGGACGUGCAUCCGAAACUGCAGAGCUUGAGUAUGGAAGAGGGUCGCGGAAUCCCCGGUGUAGAGGUGAAAUUCGUAGAUAUCGGGAGGAACACCAGUGGCGAAGGCGGAGACCUGGGCCGAUACUGACACUGAGGAGCGAAAGCGUGGGGAGCGAACAGG